AUUGAGUUUGAUCCUGGCCAGGACGAACGCUGGCGGUGUGCUUCACACAUGCAAGUCGAACGAGGUAGCAAUACCUAGUGGCGGACGGGUGAGUAACGCGUGGGAAUCUGCCCUUGGGUAGGGGAUAGCAGACCGAAAGGUCUAUUAAUACCGUAUGUGCCGAAAGGUGAAAGGAGUAAUCCGCCCGAGGAUGAGCCUGCGUCCGAUUAGCUAGUUGGUGGGGUAAAUGCCUACCAAGGCUACGAUCGGUAGCUGGUCUGAGAGGAUGAUCAGCCACAAUGGGACUGAGACACGGCCCAUACUCCUACGGGAGGCAGCAGUGGGGAAUUUUACGCAAUGGGGGAAACCCUGACGUAGCGACACCGCGUGAGCGAAGAAGCCUUUUGGGGUGUAAAGCUCUGUCAGCAGGAACGAAAAAAAUGACGGUACCUGCAGAGGAAGCAUCGGCUAACUACGUGCCAGCAGCCGCGGUA
RNAcentral lists this ribosomal RNA (473 nucleotides) under uncultured bacterium. RNAcentral's name for it is "bacterial SSU rRNA". It matches the Rfam family "Bacterial small subunit ribosomal RNA", at positions 1 to 522 of the family's 1533-position model. The record is from RNAcentral.